AGAAUCAACGCUGGCGGCGUGCCUAACACAUGCAAGUCGAACGCGAAAGUGGAGCAAUCCAUUAGUAGAGUGGCAAACGGGUGAGUAACACGUGGGCGACCUACCUCAGAGUGGGGGAUAACCUUCCGAAAGGAGGGCUAAUACCGCAUGACAUCCCGUGUUUGGAUACACGGAGAUCAAAGCCGGGGAUCGCAAGACCUGGCGCUUGGAGAGGGGCCCGCGUCCGAUUAGCUAGUUGGUGAGGUAACGGCUCACCAAGGCUCCGAUCGGUA
This 272-nucleotide ribosomal RNA is filed under the name uncultured soil bacterium. Its description in RNAcentral is "partial 16S ribosomal RNA". It matches the Rfam family "Bacterial small subunit ribosomal RNA", at positions 26 to 285 of the family's 1533-position model. The record is from RNAcentral.